Musa acuminata AAA Group (dessert banana) is the source of this 2629-nucleotide long non-coding RNA. RefSeq lists it as uncharacterized. The record is from RefSeq and is a predicted model, not a curated record. Lineage: Eukaryota; Viridiplantae; Streptophyta; Magnoliopsida; Zingiberales; Musaceae. The transcript has 2 exons.
GCCAUAGUCGUCAUUUCCAUUUGGAAGUUCAACCCCUCUACCUGUGCAUCUUUUACAGCCAUGUAUAUGCACACUGCACUCUUUGUCUCUCUCAGUCUGGUCUUUUUCUGUUCUCUCUCUGUUACUGAUGUGCUGCUGCUAUAUAUAAAAAGGGGGACGGAGAGAGUAACCGCACCUCCACACCUCGUCCCAACUACUGACUGAACCCCAUGCCUUCUCCUUCCCAAUCUCUUUUCUCUCAACCGACCAGGGAAAGGAAAGUAGUAUAAAGAGCCCCCCACCAUUGCUGCCCUUCACUUCAUUCCAACUAUUCUUUUUCUGAAUAAGAGAGAAGUUCCACUGGCGUCACUUACUUCCCCUAUCUGCAGCGGCAUGUUUCUGUUUGUUCUUCUUUGCUUGCUACCGUGUCCGCCACUCCCCUUCCUUCCUCAUGCUGUAAGUUUGCGUAUGCGAAGAAGCACAAUCAUACUGUUAAUAAAGGUGGCGGAGAUGGUUAGCGGGCCGGAGAAGGAGAUCGUUGGGCUUGUCCACGAGUGCAUCGCACCGUGGCCCGAGGCAACCCUCUUGCCUUGUUAUUACCCUCACCCUCGAAGCACCACACCGCCCCCAUCUAUGCGAAGGUGGACCUCCGCGGCUCCGCCUGUUGCCGGUGACUCUCACCACACGUUAAUCUUCCCCAUCACAAUAAUUACUGUCAUUAAUACUAAUCUAAUCGAGUGACAUCCUUGGCGAAGGGGGCUCGCACUGAGGCUGGUGCAGCGGAUGGAGGAGUGGUCUAAGGAGAAGGGGGCGGGGUACGCGUACAUGACGCCGGAGAAGGACAACUAAUCGUCUUUCCGCCUCUUCACUGGGCGGUGCGGUUACUCCAAGUUCCGCACCCCCGCCAUCCCGGUGCACCCCGUGUUAGCCCCCACCGCCUUCCCCUUCCCCCACGCGUCGCCAUCCUCCGCCUCACCCCCGCCGAUGCCCAGGCCCUGUACCGCCGCCGCUUCGCCGCCACCGAGUUCUUCCCCCAAACAUCGACAUCGUCCUCACCAACCCGCCCUCCCUGGGUACCUUCCUCGUUGUUCCUCCUUCCCUCGUGAUCCCGUGAACACGCACACGUGAACGACUGCGCGUGGGCCCUGUCCCGCAUUUCCCGUGAUCCCUCCCAUCCGUGAACUCCGUAACAGGGCGUGGGGGAUUGUACCUCAGGUUAAUCUAAUCUAAUAUAAUCGAGUGGCAUCGUUAGGUCCCGUGGGACGACGGAGAAGGACACCGUGACGUCGACAACCUCCCUCGGCACCUUCCUCGCCGUCCCUCCUUCGCUAGUGAUCCCGUGAACACCCACCCGUGAACGACCACGUGGGCCCUGUCCCGCAGGUCAUCCCUCCCACCCGUGAACUCCGCAACAAGGCGUGGGGGACCUCGGCUCCCGAGCGGUGGCGGCGUGCGAGCCGCUCUCCCAAUCACUGUCUUUAAUACUUCCUCGCCGUCCCUCCUUCCCCCAUGAACACGCACGCGUUAACGCCCGCACGUGGGCCCUGUCCCGCAGGUCGGUCCCUCCAACCCGUGAACUCUGUAACAGGGCGUGGGGGAUUGCAUCUUAGGCUAAUCUAAUCUAAUCUAAUCGAGUGGCAGACGAUGGAGGCGUGAUCUAAGGAGAAGAGGGCGGAGUACGCGUUCAUGGCGACGGAGAAGGACACCGUGGCAUCGACGCCGUCCUCGUCAACCCGCCCUCCCUCGGCACCUUCCGCGCGGUGGACCGGGCGCCGCCGUGGCUGCGCAUCCCCCGCUGGAGCGGCUCGCACGCCGCCACCACUCGGCAGCCGCGGUCCACGACCUGUUGUGCACGUGACGGAGUUCACGGAUGGGUGUGAGGGAUCACGAGACCUUCUUGCGGGGCAGGAUCACGAGACCUGCAUGCGGGGCAGGAUCACGAGACCUGCAGCAGGUUCACUCGUCCUCUUGCGGGGCAGGAUCACGAGACCUGCAGCAGGUUCACUCGUCCUCUUGCGGGCAGGAUCACGGGGCAGGCUCACGAGACCUGCAGGCAGGAUCACGAGACCUGCUUGUACGAGAUCUGCCGGACGCGACGUGGGCAGACAACGGAGACGACGUGGUGGCUGUCGACCAUGAGGUUCCACUUCAGAGACGCGAUUGAUGCGGGACCCAUAGGACCGACGCUGAACAUUAGCGCAUCGCACGAAGUAGCUCACGUUGUUAUCGCGGGUCACGGGUGGUCACGGGUGGGCUGGCACUGUCAGCUCACGGGUGGGCUGGUUUUGAGAGGGAGUAGAUCGAACCAUUGUCUAUAAAAUGAUACUAAUAGUACAACAACGAGUACGAGUUGUGAAAUAGUAGCGUGCGAAGGAUGGCUGGUGUGAUGCUAUUUAUUUUUAUGUUGUUUAUAAUGAUUAUUUUAAUGUUUUUUAUUGGCGAAGGUAAAGAAUGCUGUGUCCAAAAACUACCGUGUUGUCCUACAAAUCCAGCGUCGGUCAAUGGCACUAUGUAGUUUAUUAUCAUCUAAUCCUCCUUGUGAUUAACUUCUUGGAGUUGUACUUUAAUUUUGUAAUAUAUGGCUGUGAUUUAAGCGUUUUACUCUGUAUAUUGAUACUAUGAAUGGAAUGAAACGAGGAGGUUAAAUCUG